GAUGAACGCUGGCGGCGUGCCUAAUACAUGCAAGUCGAGCGAACAGACGAGGAGCUUGCUCCUCUGACGUUAGCGGCGGACGGGUGAGUAACACGUGGAUAACCUACCUAUAAGACUGGGAUAACUUCGGGAAACCGGAGCUAAUACCGGAGAAUAUAUUGAACCGCAUGGUGCAAUAGUGAAAGACGGUUUUGCUGUCACUUAUAGAUGGAUCCGCGCCGCAUUAGCUAGUUGGUAAGGUAACGGCUUACCAAGGCAACGAUGCGUAGCCGACCUGAGAGGGUGAUCGGCCACCCGGGAGCGUGGACGCGCUCCAGGCUCCUGCGGUAGGCAGCAGUAUGGUAUCUUCCGCAAUGGGCGGAAGCCUGACGGAGCAGCGCCGCGUGAGUGAUGACGGUCUCCGGAUCGUGAAGCUCUGUUAUUGGUUAUGAACAACUGUGUCAUUAACUAUGCACUUCUUGACGGUACCUAAUCAGAAAGCCACGGCUAACUACGUG
RNAcentral lists this ribosomal RNA (497 nucleotides) under uncultured bacterium. RNAcentral's name for it is "partial 16S ribosomal RNA". It matches the Rfam family "Bacterial small subunit ribosomal RNA", at positions 28 to 507 of the family's 1533-position model. The record is from RNAcentral.